AAGAAAAAAAAAGUUCUGAGUUGUAACAAUAUACUUAUGCUUUAUCUUAAUUUCAGUGUUAAUACAGGUAAAGAGGUAUGCAUGACAUGACAGGUAACACACCCACCCACACCCAUGCAGUUUGAGGUUUUAUGCAUCCCACACGCGGCGGGCAAUAUAAAUCUUGUGCCUUUCCCUCCAUCAUUACAACCUUCAACAACUUCCCUACCCCUUGCUUUUGCACGUCCCCUCACACUCCAUGCAGUAGACUCAUUUCACUCACUCACUCAAUAUUCCCCAACUUCACCAACCAUAACGUCUCUCUCUCUCUCUCUCUCUCUCUCUCUCUCUCUCAAACAAAGAAACAAAGAAACAAAGAAAGAGAGGCUUAGCACAUUGAGCUUGCCAACUAUUUCACGAGACUAACGUGCACUACUGCUAAAAUUAAUAAAGUCUCUAAUAUUAAUCAAAACACUUUCCCUUCCUAUAGGCUAUAGCUAUAGCUAUAUAGCUAGCUAGACAGCCAGCAACUUGUUAUUUUAAUCCUUCCAUUUCCAUUCGCUCUUGAUGGCUGAUCAGCCACUACAAGGAGAUCAUUGCACGUUGUAAAAAUUAAUAUAUGAUUAGACGUUAAGCAAUUAAAAGUCUAGUUCUAGGAGGUCACUUUGCGCUGCAAGGAAGGCUACAUGGGUUAGAUCAACCACCAGAUCAACCCACCAGAUCAACCACCAGAUAAGCUCUUGAAUCUUUUCCAAUCGUGAACCAUAACCAUCAGAUCAACCACCUUAGAGCUUCUCCAGCGGCACAGCCCAGCCCGAGGCUAGGGGAGGAAAAAAAAAAAAAGGUGUUCCAGCGGACAGCCCAGGCCCGAGGGCAAGGUGGGACCCAGCAACCUGGGCUGGCCCGAGGGCAAGGUUGGCCCGAGCUCCAACCCUCGUUUUGGUGCUACAGUAUCGCUACAGUAUAGCUACAGUGCCGCUACAGUACCGCAGUGCUACAGUGAUGCUACAGUGUCUGGCGCUACAGUACCACUAAAAGUCCACGUGUCGCACUCUGAGCUCUCCGAUCAGAUUUUUUUCUCCAAUCCAACGGCAGCCAAUUUUUGUGCAAUAAAAAAAUGAAAACAAAUUGAAUUUUUUUAAAAAAAAAUACCAAAAAAAUACUCUUUUUUUUCUAUAAAUACCAAAAAAUUUUCCGAUUGAGAUAUGAAUUUUAUAAUAAAUAUUGAUAUGUACGAACCCAAAAAUAUUAUCUGAAAAUAUUACCCAAAUUAAUUAUUUUCAUUAAAAAAUAGGAG
This 1276-nucleotide long non-coding RNA is filed under the name Prunus persica (peach). Its description in RNAcentral is "long non-coding RNA (PPER_LNC006802)". Lineage: Eukaryota; Viridiplantae; Streptophyta; Magnoliopsida; Rosales; Rosaceae. The record is from RNAcentral.